Cheilinus undulatus (humphead wrasse) is the source of this 1063-nucleotide long non-coding RNA. RefSeq lists it as uncharacterized. The record is from RefSeq and is a predicted model, not a curated record. The transcript has 3 exons. NCBI's taxonomy places the organism in Eukaryota, Metazoa, Chordata, Actinopteri, Labriformes, Labridae.
ACCAUUUGUGUCCUUUUAUAUAAGUUGCUGGUCUCUUUUUGUUCAAGCCUUAUUUGUUGGUUAAUUUACCCAAUAGGCCGUAACAUUGUCAAGACAACGACAGAAAACCUUCAUGUAUCGACCUCUGAGUGUUCUGACCGUAAAGCUCUUUCUGCAUGAAGCUGAAACGUCUAUGACCUCACUCUGGGCAGCUACUGUUGCGGGGCUCACGGUGCAUCAGUCAAUGUCCUAACACAAGGAGCUGACAGAGGUGCAUUCAAGAGCACUUCAAGAAGAGCAUCAUCUGUCCAAUUGCCAUCUGAGGAGCUGGAAGUUGCAGAUGUCAGGCUGGGCUGCGUUCUGCAGACAUGCUGCAGGAGGAGCCCCUUUCUGUGGAGAUGUUGCAGCUGCUGCAGGGGCCACUUUGUGGGGAUUUCUGUGAAGCACAGUGUCCAAGCUGCUGGUGCUCCUUGAUCUGACAAUCAUGUAUACUAAAACAUACAGAAGAUGAUGGUUAAUUUAAGAAGAACACACUUAAAAAAUGAUUUAGUCUUGUAAUUGCGAGAUCUUGAAAAUUGCCGUUCACAGACGCUCUCUAUCAAAUCUGAGUUUGAGCUAUUUUGCAAAGAGAAAUGGGCAAAAAUUUCAGUCUCUAGAUGUGCAAAAUUGGUAGAGAUAUACCCUUAAAGACUUGCAGCUGUAAUUGCAGCCAAAGGUGGUACUACAAAGUAUUGACUCUAGGGGCUGAAUACUUUUGCACACCACACUUUUCAGAUUUUCAUGUGUAAAGAAUUGAUUAAUUUUCCUUUCUACUUUACAAUUAUGUGCCACUUUGUGUUGGUCUAUUGUGCAAAAUCCCAAUAAAAUGUAUUUACGUUUGUGGUUGUAACAUGAAGAAAUGUGGAAAGUUCUAGGGGUAUGAAUACUUUGCAAGCCACUGUACUUCCCCAAAGUCAGGAUCAGCUGGCCAAAAUAUUUUACCUCUGUAGGAGAUGUAAACAUUUGCAAACUGGAAGGUUUUACAUCUCUUUAUUUCAACUUUCUCAAUAAGUAAACCUGCAAUGGAGUAAAAGACAUGUAAAGG